UACGUAGGCAGCAAGCGUUGUUCGGAGUUACUGGGCGUAAAGAGUGCGUAGGCGGUGCUCUAAGUUUGGUGUGAAAUCUCCCGGCUUAACUGGGAGGGUGCGCCGAAAACUGGAGUGCUUGAGUAUGGGAGAGGCAAGCGGAAUUCCUGGUGUAGCGGUGAAAUGCGUAGAUAUCAGGAGGAACACCUGUGGUGUAGACGGCUCUCUGGACCGCGACUGACGCUGAGACACGAAAGCGUGGGUAGCAAACAGG
RNAcentral lists this ribosomal RNA (253 nucleotides) under uncultured bacterium. RNAcentral describes it as "partial 16S ribosomal RNA". It matches the Rfam family "Bacterial small subunit ribosomal RNA", at positions 524 to 776 of the family's 1533-position model. The record is from RNAcentral.